Molecule: ribosomal RNA, 371 nt
Filed under: uncultured bacterium
Lineage: Bacteria
Description: bacterial SSU rRNA
Rfam family: Bacterial small subunit ribosomal RNA
Source: RNAcentral
UUUGCGGUGUGGGAUGGGCCCGCGGCCUAUCAGCUUGUUGGUGAGGUUACGGCUCACCAAGGCGACGACGGGUAGCCGGCCUGAGAGGGUGUCCGGCCACACUGGGACUGAGAUACGGCCCAGACUCCUACGGGAGGCAGCAGUGGGGAAUAUUGCACAAUGGGCGCAAGCCUGAUGCAGCGACGCCGCGUGAGGGAUGACGGCCUUCGGGUUGUAAACCUCUUUCAGCACAGACGAAGCGCAAGUGACAGUACCUGGAGAAGAAGCACCGGCCAACUACGUGCCAGCAGCCGCGGUAAUACGUAGGGUGCGAGCGUUGUCCGGAAUUACUGGGCGUAAAGAGCUCGUAGGUGGUUUGUCGCGUUGUUCGA